GAUGAAGAACGCAGCGAAAUGCGAUAAGUAGUGUGAAUUGCAGAAUUCAGUGAAUCAUCGAAUCUUUGAACGCACAUUGCGCCCAUUAGUAUUCUAGUGGGCAUGCCUGUUCGAGCGUCAUUAAGUCCACUUAAGCCCUGCUUAGUGUUGGGAGACUGCUCCAGCGGUGCUACCCUGUAGCUACCCUGCAGCUCCUCAAAGACAGCGGCGGAGUUGUGGUAUCCUCUGAGCUUAGUAACUUGUUCUAGCUUUCGAGUACACCACUUCCCCUGCCGUAAAACCCUUAAUUUUUAAUGGUUGACCUCGGAUCAGGUAGGAAUACCCGCUGAACUUAAGCAUAUCAAUAAGCGGAGGA
Molecule: unclassified non-coding RNA, 355 nt
Filed under: soil metagenome
Description: partial contains 5.8S ribosomal RNA, internal transcribed spacer 2, and large subunit ribosomal RNA
Rfam family: 5.8S ribosomal RNA (bases 1-120)
Source: RNAcentral